Molecule: unclassified non-coding RNA, 380 nt
Filed under: uncultured fungus
Lineage: Eukaryota; Fungi
Description: sequence contains ITS1
Rfam family: 5.8S ribosomal RNA (bases 1-106)
Source: RNAcentral
GAAAUGCGAUACGUAAUGCGAAUUGCAGAAUUCAGUGAAUCAUCAAAUCUUUGAACGCAAAUUGCGCUUUCUGGAUAGGCCAGGGAGCAUGCCUCUUUGAGCAUCGUUUCUACCCCACCUCGGCAGCUUGCUGCUGGAUAAUGAGCGUCUCAUUCGAAAGUUUGAGUCGCUUUAAGUAGAGUGAGUUUCCUAGACUCCUAGUGCUAACCUUUCGAGGUGCCUGCUUCAGGUUUUCUUUCACUAGUGGUGUGGAUAAAAUUUUUCUAACACUGCUGGCGCGAGAAAGCAUUGAUCAGGUCAAAGCCUGGGCUGGAACUCGUUGGAAAUUAUCAAUGUUUGAAUUAGAUCUCAAAUGAAGCAAGAUUACCCGCUGAACUUAA